This 774-nucleotide ribosomal RNA is filed under the name uncultured Neocallimastigales. RNAcentral's name for it is "partial large subunit ribosomal RNA". It matches the Rfam family "Eukaryotic large subunit ribosomal RNA", at positions 18 to 643 of the family's 3401-position model. Lineage: Eukaryota; Fungi; Neocallimastigomycota; Neocallimastigomycetes; Neocallimastigales. The record is from RNAcentral.
UCAGACGAUGCGUCAUGCAUAUCAAUAAGCGGAGGAAAAGAAACUAACAAGGAUUCCCCUAGUAACGGCGAGUGAAGCGGGAAGAGCUCAAAUUUGAAAUCUUAAAGGGUUUCCCUUUACGAAUUGUAGUUUAAAGAAGUGUUUUCUGUUGAGGUUUUGGUAAAAGUUCUCUGGAAUAGGACAUCAUAGAGGGUGAGAAUCCCGUAUUUGACCUUUACUUUCAACUUUGUGAUACACUUUCAAAGAGUCGGAUUGUUUGGGAAUGCAGUCCAAAGUGGGUGGUAAAUUUCAUCUAAAGCUAAAUAUUGGCGAGAGACCGAUAGCGAACAAGUACCGUGAGGGAAAGAUGAAAAGAACUUUGAAAAGAGAGUUAAACAGUACGUGAAAUUGUCAAAAGGGAAGCGUUUGACACCAGUGUUGUUUUUCUGAAAAUCAAUUAAAGAACUGUUUAUGCUAAGUUGUUUAGACUUUAUCAGCUAUCUGCUUAGUUUUGAGCUUUUCUUUAAUGCACUUUUCAGUUAACAAGUCAACAUCAAUUUCUUUUGCUGUAAAAAAGCUUGAGGAAGGUGGCUUGAGAUUCGUCUUAAGUGUUUAUAGCCUCUUGCCUAUGCAGUCGGAGAGAUUGAGGUCUGCAGCGUAGAUCCUUCGGGGCUAAAUGCAUUUGUGCUAAGUUAUAGCAUUUUAUAGACAACUUGUUGACUAUGAUUUGUCUUGUAGCUUACUCGCUUAUGUUAUUUUACCUACGCUUAGGAUGUUGACACACGCGCGUGCUCG